AACUGAUACUACCUGCGGGAACCUGCGGAGGGAUCAUUACCGAGUUUUCAACUCCCUAACCCCUCUGUGAACCUACCUAUCGUUGCUUCGGCGGACUCGCCCCAGCCCGGACGCGGACUGGACCAGCGGCCCGCCGGGGACCUCAAACUCUUGUAUUCCAGCAUCUUCUGAAUACGCCGCAAGGCAAAACAAAUGAAUCAAAACUUUUAGCAACGGAUCUCUAGAUCGGAAGAGCACACG
This 240-nucleotide unclassified non-coding RNA is filed under the name soil metagenome. RNAcentral's name for it is "partial contains 5.8S ribosomal RNA, internal transcribed spacer 2, and large subunit ribosomal RNA". The record is from RNAcentral.